This 208-nucleotide ribosomal RNA is filed under the name uncultured bacterium. Its description in RNAcentral is "partial 16S ribosomal RNA". It matches the Rfam family "Bacterial small subunit ribosomal RNA", at positions 568 to 774 of the family's 1533-position model. The record is from RNAcentral.
UGCGUAGGUGGUGGGGUAAGUCUGAUGUGAAAUCUCCGAGCUUAACUCGGAAAUGGCAUUGGAAACUACCUCGCUGGAGGGUUGGAGGGGGGACGUGGAAUUCUCGGUGUAGCAGUGAAAUGCGUAGAUAUCGAGAGGAACACCAGUGGCGAAGGCGAGUCCCUGGACAACUCCUGACACUGAGGCACGAAAGCUAGGGGAGCAAACA